AACCUUUACACUGCACGACAGUGCGAUAGGGGGACACCGAGUGCGAGGGCAUAGAGCCCUCGCUUUUGUAGACCGUAAGGAGGUCUACGAAUAAGGGCUGGGCAAGACCGGUGCCAGCCGCCGCGGUAACACCGGCAGCCCAAGUGAUGGCCGAUAUUAUUGGGCCUAAGGCGUCCGUAGCUGGCCACACAAGUCCGUCGGGAAAUCCACUCGCUUAACGAGUGGGCGUCCGGCGGAAACUGUGCGGCUUGGGACCGGAAGAUCCGAGGGGUACGUCUGGGGUAGGAGUGAAAUCCCGUAAUCCUGGACGGACCACCGAUGGCGAAAGCACCUCGGAAGGACGGAUCCGACAGUGAGGGACGAAAGCUAGGGUCUCGAACCGGAUUAGAUACCCGGGUAGUCCUAGCCGUAAACGAUGCUCGCUAGGUGUGGCGCAGGCUACGAGCCUGCGCUGUGCCGUAGGGAAGCCGUGAAGCGAGCCGCCUGGGAAGUACGUCUGCAAGGAUGAAACUUAA
This 515-nucleotide ribosomal RNA is filed under the name uncultured archaeon. RNAcentral's name for it is "bacterial SSU rRNA". It matches the Rfam family "Archaeal small subunit ribosomal RNA", at positions 345 to 859 of the family's 1478-position model. The record is from RNAcentral.